Molecule: non-coding RNA, 7554 nt
Organism: Oryctolagus cuniculus (rabbit)
Lineage: Eukaryota; Metazoa; Chordata; Mammalia; Lagomorpha; Leporidae
Source: RefSeq, a predicted model, not a curated record
GGGUGGGCGGGUCCUGGUUUCCCAAGGGCUACAGGAAACGUUUAGAACUCCAUCCUGGCUGCGCUCGGGCUGAACCUUUUGUGCCACUGGGGUUUUCUCUCUCUUGGUGGAGAUACCAAGUCCACUGUAGCCCCGAGCCUGAGCCCAAGCCCCAGCAACGGUGGCAUCGGCAAUGGAGACAAUUGAGACAAUUGAUUCUUUCCUGCCAUGGAAAGCUCAGAGGUAGGUGGUCCCAGCAGGAGGAGCAGAGACUCAGGGACAGCAAAGACUCAGCCUCUUGCCACCUUUCUGCUCUGCCUUUCUUAGGAGGUCUCCAAGUCUCCCCUCAUGGUGGCAAGAAGGUUGCCACAAUUCUAAGAAUCAUGCCCUCACAUAGCAGAGAGCUGGAUCAGAAGAGGAGCAACUGGGUCUCGAACCGGUGCCCAUAUGGGAUGCCGGCGCUUCAGGUCAGGGUAUUAACCCUCUGCGCCACAGCAUUGGCCCCUCCUAUGAACUUUUUGAAGUUCUCUUAUACCAGUGCCCCUUCCACGUGGGCAGGGAGGGGACUGGGGGAGGGGUGGGAACAAGAGCCCCUGAGUGCAAGGCUUGCACCUGUGCACACACACACAGCUGGUCGGGAGCCCACAAUCGUCAUGUCAGCCCAGGCUUGGUCAGGGUGGGGAACGCCAAGCACCCGAAGUUUUUUCCUCCUCAAUUGGAACUGACACUUCCCCACGACAGGAUUACUUUGAAAUCAAGAAAUCACAGCGCAGAUAGUUCAUAAAGUUAUUUCUGUCCCACCUUGCAGCAUGGAUUACAGAGGCAGAUCAGCCGAAGCGUAUGGGCGUUCUGCCUGUGGGCCCCCGUUUUAUUGCCGUCACCUUUGAGAUCGGGGGUGUGGUUAGCUGGGUGGGGGUAGCUCGCAGGGGAUGGGGGAUGUAGCUGAGCAGGUCUGAGGGUCUCAAGCUCGCACGGACCCUACCUGAUGCCUACUCUACCCAGCCCCCUCCAGGAAGGGUCUGGGCAAGCAUAUCACGUGUCCUGGGGGAAAAGGUGCAGAGGGCAUUGGGUAAAAAGCACCAGAAAGGUCACAUCCAAGAGUAUUAGCUGGGGAUGGUUAGUCUCUCCUGUCCCUGCCGCCUGCAGUCAUCCAUGGGGACAGGUGUGGAACAUGAGCGAUUAUCAGCCCAGGAAUCCAGGAGAGGCAUCCAGGACUUGGGGAGGCUUAAAGCUGCCGGUCGUUGUGUAUGUAAAAAAGAGAAGGCAGUGAAGGAGGUUUAUUUGUCAUGCCAGCAUUUUCCUUACUGGAGGCUGACUGUGGCUGAGGAUGAGGACCCAACAAUGAAUGAGCCUUGUCCUCCAGAAGCUCCCAGGCUCAUGGGGUCAUUGAGUUGAGAGCCAGGACAGGAUGCGUCCAGGGUGCUGUGAGUGUAUUGUAGAGGGCUUCCUGGAGGAGGUGUAAUCUGAGCUGGCUUGUGCUUAGGAGGCCUCUUGGACGUGAGACUGCCUCCCAGGUAGUUGGAUCUGGAUUACCGAGACAAGAAAGAAGGCAGGUCCAGGCUGAACCCACUCUAAGAAUGACAGGUAUGGGACUGACAGGUUAGCGAGGUGGUUCGGAGUCGCCCUGGGUUGACAUUCUGGCCUUGUCCUUUGGCAGCUCUGUGAUCUUAACCGUUCCACGUCUCAGUGUCUUGCUAUGGAAAGAGCAGGCACACACAGCUCACUUCACAGAGGAGAGGACCAAAUGAGAACAUCCACGUCACAGGCGAGGAUGGUGCUGACACGCUGCGAGGGCACCCAAGAGCCCAGCGCUGUCCCCGUGGCAGAGCCUGACCUUGUGCCGGUCUUUCCGAGGCGACGAGGGGCUGAGGGACACCCCAGCCCCACUCUUGGGUUCCUGGGGCCCCCACCACACAGAGACUUAAGGACAGCUUCUUGCGGGUGACAGAAGGCCAGCAGGGUGUUUGCACAUCCGUCACCUGUUGAGCGGAGGAGCCCUAGUGCCUGUUGGCUUCCAUGUGAAGUUAGAUGGUGCAGAGCCCAGUCUACCUGGUGCAACCAGGACAAUGAACUUGCAAGUGGCUUAAGGAGCCUGACCCACGUCCCACACAGAGAUCACUGAAGAGAAGGGGCCUGAACUCAGGCCUCCUCCACCACAAGCCCAAGGCCCCUGAUGACCUGUCUGCCUUCCUGGAGUCUCCUGCCUGGCUGGCCAGCCGAGCUGGACUGAAUUCAUGGAGCCAGCCAGGCUCAGAGGCAGAAAAUGUCGUCUGGAGAAUUUUCUUGGAUGUUUGCUUUGAAUAUCAAAGCUCUUUUUAGACUUAAGGGGCAGAUGCUAAGGGACGGAUUCACUUAGGCUUCUCUGGCAGUGGGAGAACAGGGGCUGUGAAGCCGGAGCCCUGAGGGACCCGUAGGAGAGGGAAGCCAAGCCCUGGCCCUCUGAUGGGUGUGAAUGGGAACUUGACUUCGCAUUUUAACCCCGCUCAGCUGUUCAUCCAAGGAAAGCUGCAGCCGAGGAUUACAGAAAAUCGGUAGCUGGUAUUAUUAAUGCUAGCCAAAGCAGCCGUUUGCACAGCAAGUAAUUGGUGGUGUUGUCUUCUAAUGGACAGGCGCUUCUAUUAUUUAAGUACGAAUUAAUUCAUGUACUAGGCAAUGUAUUGGUUUUUACGUAGGGUCUCAUGGCAGUCCUCUAAGCUCAUUCCCUCUUCUUGCCUUUGGGUAAUUAAAAUGCACCAUUUAACUGCUCUGUGCGUGGGACUGCAUCCCCUAGGAGAGCAUGAAAGGGGCCAUGUGGAAGCCCUGGUCGUGCCAGUCUGGCGCUUUGCUUACCAGGAGAAUUUCCAGAACACCCCUUCCUGAUCCAUGCAUGCAGUCUUCCCAUAUCGUUGGCCUCCUUUGGCCCGUCGGUAAAAGGGCAAGUUUGCAAAGCCCGUGCCUGUAGCUGAGCUUUGACAGCAACGACCUGGCAGCUCCUGGCUCCUGUGCAGCAGACAAGUCUCCUGGGCAAGUCCUUUUCCCCCUCCGGGGUCGCUGAAGGCCUCCCAGGGCAUCUAGAAUGCUUGGGGCUCUGCAUUUGAAUGAGCCGAUGGACUCAGUGACCCUGGAUCCUUGCAGGUGUGUUGAAGGUUCUGACCACUGCAAGCAGCAAAGGGUUCAUGGGCCAGGAUCAUUGGAGGAUGCGCUGCCGGCAGACGCGCGCUGCCUGUUCCCAUUUAGUGUCUCUGCAUCGCCCUGCAGGCUGAGUGUCGCUGCUUGGCUCCUUCCAGCCCUUCUGACCACAGCCUGCACAUCAAACACGGUCUGCUGGACCUCAGCUGAGGCUCUAGGCUGUUCUACAGGAUACUCCAGAGUGUUUUUCCACACUUAGUUACAAGAUGAGAGUAAUCGCAGUCCAGUUUUUGGACACGUUAAAUUUGUGUGUGUGUGUGGUUUUUUUUUUUUUUUUUUUUUUGUCUCAGGAAGAUGAGAGAAGGCCUUGAUGGGCUUUCAGCCUCACCUCUCGAGGUCAGGGUUGAAAGCCAUGUGUGGGAAAAACAACUUUAAGAUGCACAAGUGGUGGACCGCAAUGGCUGACGUAUGGCUGUGCGUGCCAGUUGCUUUCAGCAACCUUGAGAGGUCAAAAUUAUGGAUUUGAGCUGCCUGCAAUUCCAUUAGUCCCAGCGUCAACCAUCUAUCUUGCAAAUGAAUGUUAGUGGUUGCACUUGCUCUGAACAUACUGGUGCUGGGUUCCCGUUGGCCGCGGUGCGCCUUCCUCGCCCUCUCGGACCUACGGAUACCUGACCCACCGCUGGGAAGGCUAAGUCUUCCGCCACGAGAAGUCGUAUUUGCCUGCCAAAUCCUGAUUUCCAGAUGUAUUCGCCAAUGGCUCUGCUGUCAUCCUGCCGAUCAGAUCCGACGACAGAUCCUGAAUCUCCCUCAAACGUGUGUGCACAGUUGUGAGCACAGUGUCCUGAGUUAGGGCCAUGGACAGCACCUCCCGGGCCGCUCCACACCAUUUGGAAGAGGUCAAAGAAGCAGACGUGGGUACAUUUUCAAUAAGAAAACAGGGGACCAAAGGACCACCCAAAAUAUCGACUUUGGAAUUCCUCUCUGUUGCAAGUCAUUAAGAAAUAAUGCAGAAUGUAAAAGACCUGAGACUCAGGAACUCCAGUGGCCAGCGGAAGUGGAAAAUGGAUCUCCUCACUCAGGAAGAGAGAAUUCACCCUUUCUCCACUUUUUUGUCUAUUCAGAACCAUCCCUGAGCGAAUCAGGCAACCUGCCGUGGCAUCCAGUUGGUUCCCGCGAUCCUUUCAUCUUCCAGGUUGUUUGGCUUUAAAGGCAGCCUCCCCCGGGGGAAGGGAAGAGAGAUGCGCUGAGUGGACAUUCAGGAAAUAGAGGAGAGCACUCCACCUGCGAGUAGAGCCACCGCUACGUUUGAGCCGCUCAAUCCGUGCAGAUCCGAGAUGCUCUGGCUUCCGGAGGCACGCGACCCCGCACUGACAGUCUUCAACCAAGCAACAACAGGAAGCAGAUCUGCUCGCCCAGGACGAGGGGAGAGGGGCACUGGGCUGCACUGCGCUGCCGGCUGCUUCCCCGGUGUAGUCAGCUGCGCCCCUGGCCGCUGCCUCUUGGAGACAGGGGCUGAAUUAUUGAUGGCAUUAAAAAGGUGAGUUUGGGGAUGGCCUGUUGUUUGUCAGGUAACUAUCACUUCCUGUGCGAGAGUCCAGCUUUCAUCUCAGGUGUGUGGAGCCCAGGCAAGCAGCCGGGGAGCUCCCCUUGGGGAACGCGCUGCGAUCCUGGCUCCCUUUGAUCUGCUGUCUUCCCAGACGCAGCCCAGAGACCUCCCGACGUCCCCCUCGGCCCUGUUUUAUCGCCCACUGUGGAGCACACCCGAGUCGGGCUCUUCCCAGCCUAGAUUCACACUCCCCUCCUGGAACUUACUAUUGUCAGAGCGCGGAACCCCUUAGGGCCCCCCAAGAGGCAGACUCGCUUACACACUGCCCUCUGCUGGACACUGUUGGGACUGCCCUUUCCUCCCCGGGGCUUAAACAGAUCCUCGGUUGUCAGUGCCUUAAUAUAUCUGUCUGGGUGGUAGACAUCAGUGCAUUUCAGAAAGUUUGCAGAAAAUGGAAUUAAACGAUAGGUUUAUUUGGAUACAAAAAGCUUCAAUAUCCAUGCAUACAACAGGUCUUACAAAGUUCAUGGAGAUGCAUAUUGUUUAAGAAACUAUGUAUGGAUUUCAAUUUUUUUUGCACCAAAAUAAACUUACCUUUUAAUGAUCCCUUCCACAAACUUCUGAAGUACCUCCAUCACCUGCAACACAGGCAGGGAAGUUACUCACCUAGAAAACUUCUCAUUACCCAAAUAGAUGCAAAAAAUAGGGUAUGAUGCAGGAAAUCUGUUUUUCAUGAUUUGACAUAGAAAACAACCUCUGAACAAGGUCAAAAUCUAAACCACUCUUGAAUCUGAUUACAUCAAAAACAAGCGUUUCUAUCUGACAGAGGCAUUUGCAAAGUUAAAAGACAAAAGAAUAAAAAACUUGCAACAAAGGAUCAGUAGCUAGACUAUAUAAAGAACCUCCACAGAUCAAAAAGAAGGUGAAAAUGAUCUAAUCAAAAUGAUUCUGAAGCUAUAAAAUGACAAUUCACAGAAAAGUAAUGCAAGUGGCCCACAAAUGGGUGACAAAAAUGCUCAGUUUUACCAGUGAUAAGGUAAAUGGAAAUUCUAGCAUGGAGAGAUACCUUUACUUUCCCCCACUCAAUUGAAAAAAAGUCAAAGGCUACAGGAAAAGAGAUAUUUCCAUACCUCUAGUUAGGAGAGUAACAUGGACAUAAUUACUGUGCAGAGGUACUUGGCAGUGUCUAUUGGAAAAGUAAACGGGGGCUGGCCUUGUGGCACCAUGGGUUAAGCUGCUGCUUCUGAUGCCCAUUAGCGUGCCAUUUCCAGCCCUGGCUGCUCUGCUUCUGAUCCAACUCCCUGCUAAUGCACCUGCGAAGACAGCAAAGGAUGGCCCAAGUGCUGGGCCCCCUGCCACCCAUCUGGGAUACCUGGAUGGAGCUAUUGGCUCUUGGCUUUGGCCACUACAGCCAUUUAAUGAGGGGAUCAGUGAAUAGAAGACUUCUCUCUCUCUCUCUCUCUCUCUCCCUCACUGCCCCCUCCUUCUUCUGUGUCAUGCUGCCUUUCAAAUAAAUAAAAUGAGUCUUUUUAAAAAUGUAACUUGUUCAUGCUGUACAAUCCAGAGAUUCCACUACUCUGUAUCUACUCCAGACAUGCACUCAUCCAUGUGCUCACAAGGUACAUAUGAGCACAUUCGUGGCAGUUUUCUUUAGAAAAAUAACAAAAUCUGUUUACUCAGGGAAUAACUUAAAUGGCCAUGAAAAUGGGAUUGGUUAAGUAAACUGUGCUUCAUUCAUACACAUACACACACACAUAAAACACAGUUUUUAGAAUAUAAACUAUAUAUAUGGACAUAGAAGGAUCUCCGAGACCUACGUUGAGUGAACAAGAAGCCAGAUGUGUGGACACUCCCCAGGAGGGCCUGCGAGGCACUGUACCCUGGGUAGGACACAUCACUCCAUCAGUGCGCGGCCUCUGCAGCAGAGUCCAGGGGUGGAGCUGGGGGCCAAAGGAGCAUGCAGUCUUACUUGUAUAUUUAAUUUGUCUACAAAGAGAAAAUACUCAUGUUACAUGUGUAAUGAAAGCUGAUCAAAGCUCCUCUUACAUUAAAAAGGAGAAAAUCUUUCUUCAUCCUUUGAAAGCACUCAGUGCUCAGGGAAUCAGUGAGCUAUAAGCAAACCAGUGCCAUGGGUGAUCUGUCGGGGCGCCUGCUAGGAGGAGGGCACCUGGUUGUCAUGGAGAUGGCUGCCCUGUGCAUCUUUCUAUACGUGUCAGGUUGCCACCAGUUUCCUAUUCAGUGUUACUUUUAAAUUGCGGCUCACAAACACAACACUUCCUGGAGACCGUCAAUGUUGAAAUGUCAUACACAUCCAAACUUGCUCAUCCUCACCCCACCAGAUGGAGUUACUUAGGCUUGUAGGCAGCAAGUGGUCUGUCCAAACUCGGUUAACUGACAGGUGGUGGGGUUUGUCCCUAACCCCAGAGACCACGCUUUCAGCCAUUUAAACUGCAAGUAUGACAAAGUCAUUAACAUCUUUAUAAUCUCGUGAGCUUCAAAAUAUCAGCUUCCUGUCAGGAGGAAGGCUUGCACGUGACGGGUACCAUUCCCAUUUGUCACGUCUCUCUGGGUCAGAAGGACAGCUGGUUCACCCUGGGAGGGGAAUCUACCACAGGAAGACGUGCUAUUCAAACCCCUGUACAACCGGGAUGCUCACAGACAAACAUGCACCCAAAUGCCAAUGAAGUGUUUGGGAAUAACAUUCACCCCGACUAGUCCAAAUACGGCCAACGCAAAUGUUAGAAACGAAGUUCACCAGUAACAUAUUGCAAAGGCUGAGGUUUGACAACACUAUAAACCGUAGAAAAUUCUCAUAGGAUGCCGUUUAUUCCAUGCUCCAAAUUCUGGAAGUUUCUCAAGUCAACUUGAAAUUCAUUCCAGUGAUGUAGCCCUGCUCUCAUGGCUGACCCAUUCCUCCAGGC